This 78-nucleotide small RNA is filed under the name Xanthomonas arboricola. RNAcentral describes it as "sRNA sX9". It matches the Rfam family "Xanthomonas sRNA sX9". RNAcentral also lists the same sequence under 2 other names. Lineage: Bacteria; Pseudomonadati; Pseudomonadota; Gammaproteobacteria; Lysobacterales; Lysobacteraceae. The record is from RNAcentral.
AAGGGCCAUUCGGGCACUCCGAUGCCGGAGGCGCCGUUCGCACCCACCUGACGACUGCUCGCAACAUGGGUGUCAGCC